Non-coding RNA from Paramuricea clavata, 261 nucleotides. The record is from the annotation of a GenBank genome assembly. Lineage: Eukaryota; Metazoa; Cnidaria; Anthozoa; Malacalcyonacea; Plexauridae.
UCUCUCGCCAAAGCCCAGUCCUGCCAGACUUUCAACCAAAAUUUGGUGCUUUUUUGUUCGUAUUUUCAUUUAGUUCUUUUGUUAAAGAAAAAUUUGGUGCUUUUGUUCGUAUUUUCAUCUAGUUCCUCUAGGGCAAUUUCAUUUCACAUUUGUGUCUAAAAUACCGAGUGAAAAUACCUUUCCGCCAUUUUGUUUGUUUUGCGAAAAUCAUUAAUUGUACUGCAGUACAAUUAAUGAAAUAAUUGUACUCCUCUCAACCAA